GAAGAAAGGCACCCCGUAAAAGUUGGUAUCAGAGCUGCGGCUCACGACCCUCGAUAAGAAAGCUAUGGAUUCAAUUACAUCCUACACCACUGAAGUGGUAGAGUCUCAAAAGAAGGGUACUACUAAACAGCGCGUAGAUGCGCUUGAUGAGACAAUUACUAGGUUGUGCUAUACUUUGGAAGGUCUCGAGGAAAAAGUCAAGAUGGUCGAAUUCGAGAUUCGUGGAUUACACAUCCAAUUGGAUGAAAGCCAAAGGGCUUACGCAGCAAUGACUGAAACUGCUGCAAUCAUUCCUGAUCUGCAAGAUGAAAUAGAAGCGUUGAGAGCUCAAUUGCGGGUUCUCCAACGUGCAGUGGGCAAUGGCAAGCUCCUGUACCUGAGUAUGCUCCUAGACUCAAAAUUCCUGAACCAUGUACCUACGAAGGGGCACGUAAUGCAAAAGAAGUCGAAAACUUCUUGUUUGAUAUGGAACAGUACUUUCUCGUAGCUUCGAUCGAAGACGAAGCUAGAAAGGUAACCACAGCUACCAUGUAUCUGGAUGGAGAUGCAAAACUAUGGUGGCGAACCAAAUAUGCUGACAUUCAGGCCCACAGGGUUCGAAUAGAUUCUUGGGAUCUCCUCAAGGAAGCGAUCAGAUCGCAGUUUUUCUCGGAAAAUGUCGAGUAUCAGGCUCGACGAGCACUUCGAGACCUGAAACACACGAGUUGUAUCAAGGAGUAUGUGAAAUCCUUCUCAGGGCAUAUGCUGAAUUUUCGAGAUAUGUCGGAAAAGGAUAAGCUAUUCACCUUUAUGGAAGGGUUGAAACCGUG
This 809-nucleotide long non-coding RNA is filed under the name Olea europaea subsp. europaea. Lineage: Eukaryota; Viridiplantae; Streptophyta; Magnoliopsida; Lamiales; Oleaceae. The record is from RNAcentral.